RNAcentral lists this long non-coding RNA (215 nucleotides) under Panax ginseng (ginseng). Its description in RNAcentral is "long non-coding RNA (PGIN_LNC015870)". Lineage: Eukaryota; Viridiplantae; Streptophyta; Magnoliopsida; Apiales; Araliaceae. The record is from RNAcentral.
UCUUUAUCAUAUUCAUGAAAUACAAGGCAUGGAUAGGAUAAAGAAUCCUAGACACUUGAAAUGCAACAAGAUAAACAAGAUCCUAUGUGCAGCAACAUAAUGCAAAUGUGUGAUGUAUUAUGGAAUGAUUGUCGGUUCCCUGUUAACCCUGUUGGGAUGACAAUCAAUGAUGCCUUGGACAUACGAUCCAAGUCUUCAAGGAUGUUGACAUUGGG